Molecule: microRNA, 19 nt
Filed under: Caenorhabditis elegans
Lineage: Eukaryota; Metazoa; Nematoda; Chromadorea; Rhabditida; Rhabditidae
Source: RNAcentral
CAUCUCAUCCUGAUCGCCA